GUCCAGACUCCUACGGGAGGCAGCAGUGGGGAAUAUUGCACAAUGGGGGAAACCCUGAUGCAGCGACGCCGCGUGAGUGAAGAAGUAUUUCGGUACGUAAAGCUCUAUUAGCAGGGAAGAAAGAAAGUCCUUUGGACUUUGGACGGUACCUGACCAAGAAGCCCCGGCUAACUACGUGCCAGCAGCCGCGGUAAUACGUAGGGGGCAAGCGUUAUCCGGAUUUACUGGGUGUAAAGGGAGCGUAGACGGCAGCGCAAGUCUGAAGUGAAAGCCCGGGGCUCAACCGCGGGACUGCUUUGGAAACUGUUAAGCUGGAGUGCAGGAGAGGUAAGUGGAAUUCCUAGGGUAGCGGUGAAAUG
This 359-nucleotide ribosomal RNA is filed under the name uncultured bacterium. RNAcentral's name for it is "bacterial SSU rRNA". It matches the Rfam family "Bacterial small subunit ribosomal RNA", at positions 329 to 688 of the family's 1533-position model. The record is from RNAcentral.